Molecule: non-coding RNA, 48 nt
Filed under: Trichobilharzia regenti
Lineage: Eukaryota; Metazoa; Platyhelminthes; Trematoda; Strigeidida; Schistosomatidae
Source: RNAcentral
AGUUAGCUGACGAGUCCCAAAUAGGACGAAAUGCCCGUUGUCCUGGAU